Molecule: long non-coding RNA, 589 nt
Organism: Triplophysa rosa
Lineage: Eukaryota; Metazoa; Chordata; Actinopteri; Cypriniformes; Nemacheilidae
Exons: 5
Source: RefSeq, a predicted model, not a curated record
CUAUAAAAGUCCUUUCAGCCAAUUAUGGGCGUACAGACCGACAGACCUGCUCUGCUGGAAGGCCAUAUAACCAGCUCUCAAAUGUUCGCUGCACUCAGAGUACGUCCCUACGUGUGGUUGCCAUUAGAUGUGAUGGAAAAACUAGUUGUUCCAUUGUUGCGGGGAAUGCAGCUUUCACAGAUCCUUGUUUUGGAACUUAUAAAUACCUGACUGUGUCUUACAAGUGUGUUGCACCUCCACCACCAUCACCACGUGUACCAUCAAAGGUUGUAGUUACCUGUGAAUCACAAACUGCCUUCCUCAGCUGUGACCAGGGAAGUAUAAAAGUCCUUUCAGCCAAUUAUGGGCGUACAGACCGACAGACCUGCUCUGCUGGAAGGCCAUAUAACCAGCUCUCAAAUGUUCGCUGCACUCAGAGUACGUCCCUACGUGUGGUUGCCAUUAGAUGUGAUGGAAAAACUAGUUGUUCCAUUGUUGCGGGGAAUGCAGCUUUCACAGAUCCUUGUUUUGGAACUUAUAAAUACCUGACUGUGUCUUACAAGUGUGUUGCACCUCCACCACCAUCACCACGUGAGUUUUGCACCUAAAU